GAUGAGAAGGUUCAUUAUUAGGUGCUGAGCGCUGUGCAUUGUUGUAAAUCAUGAAUUCAUCGAUAUACUGUUACAUAUGCUGUGGAAUAGUUUAUUCCAUGGAGUUCUGGAAGUUGUGCUCAGAGUCCUUAUAACUCCGGAAUUCAUUUUGCACGCACAGGACAUCUGCUGAUUUUGCAGAAAGGGUCCUGGGAAGCUUCUCAAAAUUUAGAAGGCUCCUUAUGCAAGACGUAGGGGUGUGUUAAUGAGCUACCCCUUUUCUAUCCUCCCGAUAUUCUAGAUGGCUUAACCUAUUUCUGUUCUCUCUUUGUUAGCUUAUACCU
Molecule: unclassified non-coding RNA, 323 nt
Filed under: Hevea brasiliensis (rubber tree)
Lineage: Eukaryota; Viridiplantae; Streptophyta; Magnoliopsida; Malpighiales; Euphorbiaceae
Source: RNAcentral